RNAcentral lists this ribosomal RNA (888 nucleotides) under Vibrio sp. RNAcentral describes it as "bacterial SSU rRNA". It matches the Rfam family "Bacterial small subunit ribosomal RNA", at positions 57 to 927 of the family's 1533-position model. The record is from RNAcentral. Lineage: Bacteria; Pseudomonadati; Pseudomonadota; Gammaproteobacteria; Vibrionales; Vibrionaceae.
GCAGUCGAGCGGAACGAGUUAUCUGAACCUUCGGGGGACGAUAACGGCGUCGAGCGGCGGACGGGUGAGUAAUGCCUAGGAAAUUGCCCUGAUGUGGGGGAUAACCAUUGGAAACGAUGGCUAAUACCGCAUGAUGCCUACGGGCCAAAGAGGGGGACCUUCGGGCCUCUCGCGUCAGGAUAUGCCUAGGUGGGAUUAGCUAGUUGGUGAGGUAAGGGCUCACCAAGGCGACGAUCCCUAGCUGGUCUGAGAGGAUGAUCAGCCACACUGGAACUGAGACACGGUCCAGACUCCUACGGGAGGCAGCAGUGGGGAAUAUUGCACAAUGGGCGCAAGCCUGAUGCAGCCAUGCCGCGUGUGUGAAGAAGGCCUUCGGGUUGUAAAGCACUUUCAGUCGUGAGGAAGGUGGUGUAGUUAAUAGCUGCAUUAUUUGACGUUAGCGACAGAAGAAGCACCGGCUAACUCCGUGCCAGCAGCCGCGGUAAUACGGAGGGUGCGAGCGUUAAUCGGAAUUACUGGGCGUAAAGCGCAUGCAGGUGGUUUGUUAAGUCAGAUGUGAAAGCCCGGGGCUCAACCUCGGAAUAGCAUUUGAAACUGGCAGACUAGAGUACUGUAGAGGGGGGUAGAAUUUCAGGUGUAGCGGUGAAAUGCGUAGAGAUCUGAAGGAAUACCGGUGGCGAAGGCGGCCCCCUGGACAGAUACUGACACUCAGAUGCGAAAGCGUGGGGAGCAAACAGGAUUAGAUACCCUGGUAGUCCACGCCGUAAACGAUGUCUACUUGGAGGUUGUGGCCUUGAGCCGUGGCUUUCGGAGCUAACGCGUUAAGUAGACCGCCUGGGGAGUACGGUCGCAAGAUUAAAACUCAAAUGAAUUGACGGGGGCCCCGCA